GAGGAAAAGAAACUAACUAGGAUUCCCUUAGUAACGGCGAGUGAACCGGGAUGAGCUCAAAUUUAAAAUCUGGCGUCUUUCAGGCGUCCGAGUUGUAAUCUAUAGAGGCGUUUUCCGCGCCGGACCGCGUCCAAGUCUCUUGGAAUAGAGUAUCAAAGAGGGUGACAAUCCCGUACUUGACGCGACAACCGGUGCUCUGUGAUACGUUCUCAAUGAGUCGAGUUGUUUGGGAAUGCAGCUCUAAAUGGGUGGUAAAUUCCAUCUAAGGCUAAAUAUUGGCGAGAGACCGAUAGCGAACAAGUACCGUGAGGGAAAGAUGAAAAGCACUUUGGAAAGAGAGUUAAACAGCACGUGAAAUUGUUAAAAGGGAAACGAUUGAAGUCAGUCGUGUGAAAGGUAUUCAGCCGUCUCUGGCGGUGUAUUUGCCUUUCACGGGUCAACAUCAGUUUGAUCCGGUAGAAAAAGGCAGGAGGAAGGUGGCACCCUCGGGUGUGUUAUAGCCUCUUGUCAUAUGUGCCGGACCAGACUGAGGAACGCAGCUUGCCGCAAGGCCGGGGUUCGCCCACGUACAAGCUUAGGAUGUUGACAUAAUGGCUUUAAACGACCCGUCUA
Molecule: ribosomal RNA, 612 nt
Filed under: Basidiomycota sp. 1 HFP-2013
Lineage: Eukaryota; Fungi; Basidiomycota
Description: eukaryotic LSU rRNA
Rfam family: Eukaryotic large subunit ribosomal RNA
Source: RNAcentral